AGUGAACGCUGGCGGUAGGCCUAACACAUGCAAGUCGAACGGCAGUACAGUAAUAGCUUGCUCUUACGGGUGGCGAGUGUCGUACUGGUGAGGAAUACAUCGGAAUCUACUUUUUCGUGCGGGAUAACGUAGGGAAACUUACGCUAAUACCGCAUACGACGUACAGGUGAACACAGCUGAUCUUCGCACCGUGCGCGACUGAAUGAGCCGAGGUCGGAUUAGCUAGUUGUGGGGGUAAAGGCCCACUAAGGCGACGCUCCGUAGCUGCUCUGAGAGGAGCCGAAGCAACACUGGAACUGGGACACGGUCCAGCAUCCUACGGCAGGGAGACGGGGGGAAUAUUUGCGAAUGGGCGCAAGCCUGAUUCAGGCAUACCGGGUGGGUGAAGAAGGCCUUCGGGUUGUAAAGACCUUUUGUUGGGAAAGAAAAGCAGCAGGUUACUACCCCGCUGUUCUGACGGUACCCAAAGAAUAAGCACCGGCUAACUUCGUG
This 492-nucleotide ribosomal RNA is filed under the name uncultured bacterium. RNAcentral describes it as "partial 16S ribosomal RNA". It matches the Rfam family "Bacterial small subunit ribosomal RNA", at positions 29 to 507 of the family's 1533-position model. The record is from RNAcentral.